UACGAAGGGGGCUAGCGUUGUUCGGAUUUACUGGGCGUAAAGCGCACGUAGGCGGAUCGUUAAGUCGGGGGUGAAAUCCUGGAGCUCAACUCCAGAACUGCCUUCGAUACUGGCGAUCUUGAGUCCGGAAGAGGUGAGUGGAACUCCUAGUGUAGAGGUGGAAUUCGUAGAUAUUAGGAAGAGCACCAGUGGCGAAGGCGGCUCACUGGUCCGGUACUGACGCUGAGGUGCGAAAGCGUGGGGAGCAAACGGG
Molecule: ribosomal RNA, 253 nt
Filed under: uncultured bacterium
Lineage: Bacteria
Description: partial 16S ribosomal RNA
Rfam family: Bacterial small subunit ribosomal RNA
Source: RNAcentral